CAAUACUGUAGUCUCACUCGCACUCAACUCGUCCUGCUACACUUUCAGUUAGCCUGUUGCCGCCUGCCCACAUUCACUGAAUACUGAGAUGAUAUAAAGUCUGGUUAUGUCUAGUUAUAGUGAGGCUAUAUCUGGAUAUUCCCAUUUCAACAACUGACAUUUUUGAACACCAGACAUGCACACAAUGUACGAUAUCACAGCAUUUUGCUUAUUACUUUCAACACUGGAUCCACCAUUUGUAUACAGAAAUGAUGUUUGUGUAUGAUGUGUUUCAUGCUGUAUGUAUUCUGUGCAUAGGCUGAGCUGGGUUAUCUGCAGCUUUAUGGAGUGCAGGAGAUUACGGGGAAGCUGGACAGAGAGACUGGGGGCAGUAAAGGGCCUUAAUUGCAUGCCAGCACACACACCAUCAGAUUUACUGCUCAGCUUAAAUCAGGGAAACAGCAGCACAGACUGGGAGAAAGGAAGUCGGCAUGAAAGAAACACCAUCUAAAGACCAGGAGCAUGGCCAGAAAGGGACGGUGAAAGAAAUAUCUAAUGAUAGCUGCUACAGAGCACUCAAGGCCCCUCCCAACAGUUUGAAUACACCUACACUACCUGCAACUGACCACCAUGCUCCUGCGUUGCAAAUUGGACAAACACAACAGAAAAGUGCUGAAAUACAGGGUGGACGAGAAUCAAAGAAGCCAAAGGAGAAAUAGGAACCCCGCUGAAACAUUUUCACUUCCACACACACAGAUAUUUACAUGUUGAGGUUGAAAUAACAGCUCCUUCCUCUCCCCUGUCCCCUGCAGUGAGCCAGAGGCAUCUGUUCCUCUAUGUAAAGGAGUCAUUAAUGGAGGAAAUGACUCAUUUAUGCUCAGAGCUAAUGGAGGAAACUCGACCAGCCAAUGUCCCACCACCCCCUCUAUCUCUUCCCACAUUCCUCUCUCUCUCUCACUCAGUCUCUCUCUCUCUCUCUCUCUAUCCAUAUGACAUCUGAGUGGACUGUUGCUUGUGUAGACCACUGGCAUACCCACAUUAUGCCUCAUUAGGACCAAUCUGGUGGGCUGCCAGGGCUUAUGGGUAAAUGUUCACUUUCCUCGUCUCGGGGUAAUUUCUUCACCCAGAUGCUGAUCAGAAGGAGUCUGAGAGGCCGGGAGGGAGAGAUCCAUUACACCGCUGGCUCAGGUCAAGGCACUUCCUGAAAUCUAACCAUGUGUCACACUGUAAACCUGUCUUUCUCUCACUACAGACUUUUGAGUUCUUGUUGGAGCUAACUUCGAAACAUAGUGGAUGGAGAGCCACAUGUUCCAUGUACUUGGCAGCAGCCAUGAUGGCCUGUGUAAUUAUUUUAAAAGCCCCUAAUAAGCAUGUAGGUUAUUCUAAACCUGAGAGUUUGUUUCCUUCAAAAUGCUGUGCUUUUUGCCCACACAUGACAGUAAUUGAUGUGCACAAUGAGCCCAGUAUAAUUUCUAACAGGGCAAUGCACCACUCAGACAUAUUCUUUCUGUGCCACUGAACUCUCCCACCUAAAGUAAUACAUCAGAGAUGACCCACUGCAUUUUGGUGAUGUUAGUCAUUACGAGCAGCAGAGUGGAAAUUCUGUGUCACAAAUGAGUGUAUUAGCUCUGAGAGAAAGAUGAUGUUAACUCUGUAUCGAUUAAAUGGGUUUCCAG
Long non-coding RNA from Clupea harengus (Atlantic herring), 1655 nucleotides. The record is from Ensembl. Lineage: Eukaryota; Metazoa; Chordata; Actinopteri; Clupeiformes; Clupeidae.